CAUGCAAGUCGAACGAAGGCUUCGGCCUUAGUGGCGCACGGGUGCGUAACGCGUGGGAAUCUGCCCUUGGGUUCGGAAUAACAGUUAGAAAUGACUGCUAAUACCGGAUGAUGACGAAAGUCCAAAGAUUUAUCGCCCAGGGAUGAGCCCGCGUAGGAUUAGGUAGUUGGUGGGGUAAAGGCCUACCAAGCCGACGAUCCUUAGCUGGUCUGAGAGGAUGAUCAGCCACACUGGGACUGAGACACGGCCCAGACUCCUACGGGAGGCAGCAGUGGGGAAUAUUGGACAAUGGGCGAAAGCCUGAUCCAGCAAUGCCGCGUGAGUGAUGAAGGCCUUAGGGUCGUAAAGCUCUUUUACCAGGGAUGAUAAUGACAGUACCUGGAGAAUAAGCUCCGGCUAACUCCGUGCCAGCAGCCGCGGUAAUACGGAGGGAGCUAGCGUUGUUCGGAAUUACUGGGCGUAAAGCGCACGUAGGCGGUUAUUCAAGUCAGAGGUGAAAGCCCGGGGCUCAACCCCGGAACUGCCUUUGAAACUAGAUGACUGGAAUCUUGGAGAGGUCAGUGGAAUUCCGAGUGUAGAGGCGAAAUUCGUAGAUAUUCGGAAGAACACCAGUGGCGAAGGCGACUGACUGGACAAGU
This 638-nucleotide ribosomal RNA is filed under the name uncultured Alphaproteobacteria bacterium. Its description in RNAcentral is "bacterial SSU rRNA". It matches the Rfam family "Bacterial small subunit ribosomal RNA", at positions 54 to 738 of the family's 1533-position model. Lineage: Bacteria; Pseudomonadati; Pseudomonadota; Alphaproteobacteria. The record is from RNAcentral.